GGUUGAUCCUGCCAGUAGUCAUACGCUUGUCUCAAAGAUUAAGCCAUGCAUGUCUAAGUAUAAGCACUUAUACAGUGAAACUGCGAAUGGCUCAUUAUAUCAGUUAUAGUUUAUUUGAUAGUCCCUACUACUUGGAUAACCGUAGUAAUUCUAGAGCUAAUACAUGCGCUAACUCCUGACCUCACGGAAAGGAUGUAUUUAUUAGAUACAACCAACCUUGUUUGGUGAAUCAUAAUAACUGAGCGAACCGCAUGCUUCGGCGGCGGUGGUUCAUUCAAGUUUCUGCCCUAUCA
This 293-nucleotide ribosomal RNA is filed under the name uncultured eukaryote. RNAcentral describes it as "partial 18S ribosomal RNA". It matches the Rfam family "Eukaryotic small subunit ribosomal RNA", at positions 6 to 317 of the family's 1831-position model. The record is from RNAcentral.